GCCAGGUGUGGUGUUGCACACCUGUAGUCCCAGCUACUCAGAAGGAUGAGGCAGGAGGAUGGCUUAAGCCCAGAUGUUUGAGAACAGCCUGGGCAACAUAAUAAGACCCCAUCUCAA
This 117-nucleotide small RNA is filed under the name Marmota monax (woodchuck). Lineage: Eukaryota; Metazoa; Chordata; Mammalia; Rodentia; Sciuridae. The record is from RNAcentral.